Molecule: transfer RNA, 73 nt
Filed under: Ictidomys tridecemlineatus (thirteen-lined ground squirrel)
Lineage: Eukaryota; Metazoa; Chordata; Mammalia; Rodentia; Sciuridae
Description: Spermophilus tridecemlineatus (thirteen-lined ground squirrel) tRNA
Rfam family: tRNA
About the family: Transfer RNA (tRNA) molecules are approximately 80 nucleotides in length. Their secondary structure includes four short double-helical elements and three loops (D, anti-codon, and T loops).
Source: Rfam by way of RNAcentral
GGGGAUGAAGCUCAAUUGGUAGAGUGUUUGCCUUGCAUGUACAAGGUCCUUGGUUCAAUUCCCAGCACCUCAA